GAUGAAGAACGUAGCGAAGUGCGAUAAGUAAUGUGAAUUGCAGAAUUCAGUGAAUCAUCGAAUCUUUGAACGCACCUUGCGCCCUUUGACUAUUCCGAAGGGCAUGCCUGUUUGAGUAUCAUGAAAACCUCAACUCUCAUGGCUUGCCAUGAUGAGCUUGGACUCUGGGGGUCUUGCUGGCUUUACGGUCAGCUCCUCUCAAAUAAAUCAGCUUGCCGGUGUUUGGUGGGAUCACAGGUGUGAUAACUAUCUACGCUUGUGGUUUUCCGCCAGGUAACCUUCAGCAAUGGAGGUUCGCUGGAGCUCAUAAAUGUCUCUCCUCAGCGAGGACAGAUUUUGACCGUUUGAUCUCAAAUCAGGUAGGACUACCCGCUGAACUUAAGCAUAUCAAUAAGCGGAGGA
Molecule: unclassified non-coding RNA, 402 nt
Filed under: soil metagenome
Description: partial contains 5.8S ribosomal RNA, internal transcribed spacer 2, and large subunit ribosomal RNA
Rfam family: 5.8S ribosomal RNA (bases 1-121)
Source: RNAcentral